CAAAAGCAGAACGACCAGAGAA
This 22-nucleotide ribosomal RNA is filed under the name Cuphea flavisetula. RNAcentral describes it as "partial 18S ribosomal RNA". Lineage: Eukaryota; Viridiplantae; Streptophyta; Magnoliopsida; Myrtales; Lythraceae. The record is from RNAcentral.